RNAcentral lists this ribosomal RNA (1391 nucleotides) under uncultured bacterium. RNAcentral's name for it is "bacterial SSU rRNA". It matches the Rfam family "Bacterial small subunit ribosomal RNA". The record is from RNAcentral.
AGAGUUUGAUCCUGGCUCAGAUUGAACGCUGGCGGCAUGCUUUACACAUGCAAGUCGAACGGCAGCGCGGGGCAACCUGGCGGCGAGUGGCGAACGGGUGAGUAAUAUAUCGGAACGUACCCAGAAGUGGGGGAUAACGUAGCGAAAGUUACGCUAAUACCGCAUACGAUCUACGGAUGAAAGUGGGGGACCUUCGGGCCUCAUGCUUUUGGAGCGGCCGAUAUCUGAUUAGCUAGUUGGUAGGGUAAAGGCCUACCAAGGCGACGAUCAGUAGCUGGUCUGAGAGGACGACCAGCCACACUGGAACUGAGACACGGUCCAGACUCCUACGGGAGGCAGCAGUGGGGAAUUUUGGACAAUGGGCGCAAGCCUGAUCCAGCAAUGCCGCGUGAGUGAAGAAGGCCUUCGGGUUGUAAAGCUCUUUUGUCAGGGAAGAAACGGUCUAGGUUAAUACCUUGGGCUAAUGACGGUACCUGAAGAAUAAGCACCGGCUAACUACGUGCCAGCAGCCGCGGUAAUACGUAGGGUGCAAGCGUUAAUCGGAAUUACUGGGCGUAAAGCGUGCGCAGGCGGUUUUGUAAGUCUGUCGUGAAAGCCCCGGGCUCAACCUGGGAAUUGCGAUGGAGACUGCAAGGCUUGAAUCUGGCAGAGGGGGGUAGAAUUCCACGUGUAGCAGUGAAAUGCGUAGAGAUGUGGAGGAACACCGAUGGCGAAGGCAGCCCCCUGGGUCAAGAUUGACGCUCAUGCACGAAAGCGUGGGGAGCAAACAGGAUUAGAUACCCUGGUAGUCCACGCCCUAAACGAUGUCUACUAGUUGUCGGGUUUUAAUUAACUUGGUAACGCAGCUAACGCGUGAAGUAGACCGCCUGGGGAGUACGGUCGCAAGAUUAAAACUCAAAGGAAUUGACGGGGACCCGCACAAGCGGUGGAUGAUGUGGAUUAAUUCGAUGCAACGCGAAAAACCUUACCUACCCUUGACAUGGAAGGAAGUCCGGAGAGAUCUGGAUGUGCCCGAAAGGGAACCUUCACACAGGUGCUGCAUGGCUGUCGUCAGCUCGUGUCGUGAGAUGUUGGGUUAAGUCCCGCAACGAGCGCAACCCUUGUCAUUAGUUGCUACAUUUAGUUGAGCACUCUAAUGAGACUGCCGGUGACAAACCGGAGGAAGGUGGGGAUGACGUCAAGUCCUCAUGGCCCUUAUGGGUAGGGCUUCACACGUCAUACAAUGGUACAUACAGAGGGCCGCCAACCCGCGAGGGGGAGCUAAUCCCAGAAAGUGUAUCGUAGUCCGGAUUGUAGUCUGCAACUCGACUACAUGAAGUUGGAAUCGCUAGUAAUCGCGGAUCAGCAUGUCGCGGUGAAUACGUUCCCGGGUCUUGUACACACCGCCCGUC